UACGUAGGGGGCAAGCGUUGUCCGGAAUCAUUGGGCGUAAAGAGCGUGUAGGCGGCCAGAUAAGUCCGCUGUGAAAUCUCGAGGCUCAACUUCGAGCUGUCGGUGGAAACUGUCUGGCUAGAGUCCGGAAGAGGAGAAUGGAAUUCCUGGUGUAGCGGUGAAAUGCGCAGAUAUCAGGAAGAACACCCGUGGCGAAGGCGGCUCUCUGGAACGCAACUGACGCUGAGACGCGAAAGCGUGGGGAGCAAACAGG
RNAcentral lists this ribosomal RNA (253 nucleotides) under uncultured bacterium. Its description in RNAcentral is "partial 16S ribosomal RNA". It matches the Rfam family "Bacterial small subunit ribosomal RNA", at positions 524 to 776 of the family's 1533-position model. The record is from RNAcentral.